Molecule: long non-coding RNA, 979 nt
Organism: Apis florea (little honeybee)
Lineage: Eukaryota; Metazoa; Arthropoda; Insecta; Hymenoptera; Apidae
Source: RefSeq, a predicted model, not a curated record
UUUAGAUCGUGCAAUAUGCUGCGGUGCGGCGCAGCGUUCGAGACGUUUCAUUAAAAGUCGAUGUUACGACACCAGGGUGUGCUCGAUCGCUCGCUCAGAUCUAGGCAUGCGACCUAGACCCGACCUUUCCCAAGUUCCUGACGGAAAUAAGGCUAAUACAGCUACCGACACUUAGCUUCGCUAAUCGAACCAAGGAAUAAACGACGUUCCACAGCCGCGAUCCACUCGAAUUACGAGGACGGUUCAAUCGAUUUCACGGUGAACUUUCUAAGAAUAUUUCCACGCCUUUGCUGGAGAACUUCCGGUAACGAAACGUUUCGAUCAACCGAAGAAUAAACGCUGCUUUCGAUAUUCAAAUAAUAAAACAAAUUUAAUUUUUUCAUAUAUAUGGUAUGAUAGAAAUUAAAAAUGAUAGAUUAGCCAUAAUCCAUGCAACAUUCCUCUAAUUAUUAAACGUUAUAAUUAAAAGAAAAACAUUUACAUUUGACAAUGAAGAAUAUUUAUUGCUAUGAUAUUUUAAAUUAUUAAGGUAAUUCUAAAAAAAAAAAAAAAAUACAAUAAAAAAAUGUCAGAGCUGAAGAACAAGUGUUUUCUCUAAUUAAAUAUUCUCCUUUAAUUUUUUUCUUUACUUCAAAGUAAAUUGACUAUAACAUAUAUAAUUAUAUUUCUUUUUCUUCGCGCUAUUUUAAAAAGAAAGAUAUAUAUUAUACAUAUUUAUUGAACGAUCUCGAUUUUGUCACGGAUGAAUAACCGUGGAAAUAUUUAUAUAAAGGCGACACCCGUAAUUUAGUCGACGACCGAACGUAUUGUAUCGAGCUUUUACCGGUAUGCGGCUCUCGGGCCAAUAUUUCACGGGAUAAUAAGGAACAAACAGCGUUUCCUUGUUCCGGGAGACGCGAGAGUGUUAUUAUACUAUGGCGGCGGGUUGAAGGUGGCGAUGGCGGAAAUUCGUUCGGCCAAAGGCCACACGGUCUCGACC